GAUGAACGCUGGCGGCGUGCCUAAUACAUGCAAGUCGAGCGAACAGACGAGGAGCUUGCUCCUCUGACGUUAGCGGCGGACGGGUGAGUAACACGUGGAUAACCUACCUAUAAGACUGGGAUAACUUCGGGAAACCGGAGCUAAUACCGGAUAAUAUAUUGAACCGCAUGGUUCAAUAGUGAAAGACGGUUUUGCUGUCACUUAUAGAUGGAUCCGCGCCGCAUUAGCUAGUUGGUAAGGUAACGGCUUACCAAGGCAACGAUGCGUAGCCGACCUGAGAGGGGAAUCGGCCACACUGGAACUGAGAAACGGUCCAGACUCCUAGGGGAGGAAGAAGUAGGAAAUCUUCGGAAAGGGGCGAAAGCCUGACGGGGAAACGCGGGGUGGGGGAUGAAGGUUUCCGAAUCGUAAAACUCUGUUAUAAGGAAAAAAAAAAUGUGAAAGUAACUAUGAAGGUCUGAAGGGAACCUAAUAAGAAAGCCACGGCAAACUACGU
This 496-nucleotide ribosomal RNA is filed under the name uncultured bacterium. RNAcentral's name for it is "partial 16S ribosomal RNA". It matches the Rfam family "Bacterial small subunit ribosomal RNA", at positions 28 to 506 of the family's 1533-position model. The record is from RNAcentral.